GACGAACGCUGGCGGCGUGCUUAACACAUGCAAGUCGAACGGAAAGGCCCUUUCGGGGGUACUCGAGUGGCGAACGGGUGAGUAACACGUGGGUGAUCUGCCCUGCACUUUGGGAUAAGCCUGGGAAACUGGGUCUAAUACCGAAUAUUCCUUGCUGGUCGCAUGGCAUGGUGGGGGAAAGCCUUUGCGGUGUGGGAUGGGCCCGCGGCCUAUCAGCUUGUUGGUGGGGUGAUGGCCUACCAAGGCGACGACGGGUAGCCGGCCUGAGAGGGUGUCCGGCCACACUGGGACUGAGAUACGGCCCAGACUCCUACGGGAGGCAGCAGUGGGGAAUAUUGCACAAUGGGCGCAAGCCUGAUGCAGCGACGCCGCGUGGGGGAUGACGGCCUUCGGGUUGUAAACCCCUUUCAAUAGGGACGAAGCGCAAGUGACGGUACCUAUAGAAGAAGCACCGGCCAACUACGUGCCAGCCGCCGCAGUAA
RNAcentral lists this ribosomal RNA (482 nucleotides) under uncultured bacterium. RNAcentral's name for it is "partial 16S ribosomal RNA". It matches the Rfam family "Bacterial small subunit ribosomal RNA", at positions 28 to 523 of the family's 1533-position model. The record is from RNAcentral.